This 87-nucleotide microRNA precursor is filed under the name Python bivittatus (Burmese python). RNAcentral's name for it is "microRNA pbv-mir-92a precursor (pbv-mir-92a-1)". Its record names the gene pbv-mir-92a-1. The stretch from base 1 to 78 matches the Rfam family "mir-92 microRNA precursor family". From Rfam's summary of the family: This family represents the microRNA precursor mir-92. The record is from miRBase by way of RNAcentral. Lineage: Eukaryota; Metazoa; Chordata; Lepidosauria; Squamata; Pythonidae.
UUUCUACACAGGUUGGGAUCGGUUGCAAUGCUGUGUUGAGUCUGUGGUAUUGCACUUGUCCCGGCCUGUUGAGGUUGGUGGGGCAAG